CUAAAACAAAAGCAAUGAGGUGUGUUCUCGUUAUCCCUCCGAUACUUAAGUUAGACAGAGAAUUUAUAUGAAAACGUACACUGAAAUUGUAUGCAAAAACAUACCGGAAUAAUGGACCUAGGUCAUCUAUUUAUAAAGGUAGGUAGUGUACUCCUAGCAGGAUUGAAUUAAUUGGAUGUUCUUAUUCAAGGAGUAUUUUAUUUGUAAUAUAAUUACAUGACCAAUGAUGCUAUUGUUGACAUAAAUUUCUUGUGAAUGUAGGAGUCAUGGAUUGAGGUGUUUGAAUCAUAUUAGAGUCCUUAGAAGGUAAGACUUCUUAUGGGCUUGACAAAAGGGGGGGUUCGGUAUGAAAGGAAUAGUUCGAUGACUCAUUAACCCCGUAUAUCAAAAGGAUGCUCGAGGACACUAUUGACUAGAUCGCGAGGAUACAAGUCGCCACUCCUCGGGUGUAUCACCUCGAGGACUAUGUGUCCCAAUAUGUGAUAAGCAAGACCCUGUGAAUCCUUGGGAGAAUCAUCUCGGGAGGUUGUCAAAAGUAACUACAUCAAUACCCUUAUUUACAGCUUGUUUGGGAGUGAUUUUUUGGCUCAAAAAUUUGAAUUUUUGACCGUUAUUUCACUAUUACAG
Molecule: long non-coding RNA, 627 nt
Filed under: Olea europaea subsp. europaea
Lineage: Eukaryota; Viridiplantae; Streptophyta; Magnoliopsida; Lamiales; Oleaceae
Source: RNAcentral